Long non-coding RNA from Chinchilla lanigera (long-tailed chinchilla), 1850 nucleotides. RefSeq lists it as uncharacterized. The record is from RefSeq and is a predicted model, not a curated record. NCBI's taxonomy places the organism in Eukaryota, Metazoa, Chordata, Mammalia, Rodentia, Chinchillidae. The transcript has 3 exons.
UAUGCAUUUGUGGCCUAGCUGUGCUCUGUAGUGUGGCCUGGGUCCCAAGAGGACUUGAUAGGGCUCUCCCACUGCCCUUUAGUCCUGGCGUGGAAAGCAACAUGAGGCCGGCUGUGGGGAGCUGUGCAAGCCUCCGUGACAGGGGAGUGGGACAGUGUGGCCAGGAGAUGGGCUCCGGACUGUCCAGUCCGGAUGUGCAGGGGCUGGGCUGGCUCAGGACUUCUGCAGCCUCUGUACGCUUCUGUUUCUGGUGCAUACUUCUGUGUCCACCCACUGUCAGCCUUCUGCUACUGUUAUAAAUACCCGAGAUACUCGCCUUAGAGAGAGGAGAAGUUUAUUUUGGCUCAAGCCUCCCAAGUUCUGAGAUUACAGGGGUGCACCACCGUGCCCGGCUUGGAUCGCAGUUUUGGAGGACCCUGUGGGACAUUGGAGAGAGGCUGAGACACCCAAGAGCCAUCACGAGAUAGAGGUUUGUGACACAGAAUGCAGUGGACGGAAGGAGAGGUUCUCCUCCUGCUUUUGUGCCUUGGAACUGUGUGACCUCAAGCACGGUCCUGACCUCGUUGCUGUCCCCUGUAAAAUGGGACCUCAGGCGCCCCCUGGAAGGAGUGUAUGAGAACAGAGACCAGCGACACAGAACCCGUGCUUCAGCCAACCCAGAUCAUUCCAACAGCACAAAAGGCAGCCACCGUUAGAGGAAAAGCUGCCCCUGAACUUGGGAAAGUCCCUGUCAUGCAAAAGAGUAAUGUAGUCUCUGAGAUUUUAUUAAUUUUUGUAGUGUGGAGGUGUUAGUAGAUGAUUUUAAAAUUCUGCUUUCCUAAGUAGACGGCACCGGAUGCCCCAAUUUCCACAAAUAAAACCCUUCAUUUCUCCCAGGUUUGAAUAGGCAAAGGCUGCCUCCCUGGAGACAGCACGGCUAAUAUUUUUGAUCGACAUUAGAACUCUAUUUAAGGAGUGUACCUUUUCCAGAGAAGCAAAUGAUAAACUUUUUGCCCCUUUAAGAGUGAGAAGCAGGAGGGAGAAGAGACUGUAGAAAGAAACUCCCCAGGUGGGCUGUUUGCAGAAGUACAUGUAUUUUUUUUUUUUUUCACCUUUUUAAAUCAAAAGCAGACUUUGCUGCUGAAAAUCUGGAGAAGGAUGGUUUAAAAGUCGGUGCAUGGUGCAAAUAAAAUCCCUGGGCUGGCCCUGAGCUGACAUUCACUGCAGCAGCGACCCAGUUUUAAUUUAAUUGUGCAUCUAUUGUCUUCCUGUGCAGCUGACACGGAGAACUAGCUGUUUCCCAAGGACUGUGUCUGUGCUUUGAAUUUAUUACCUCCCUUCAUCGAGCAACCCUUUGAAGUGUAGGAACUGUGAUCAUUCUGAUGCUUAUUGGUGAGGAGACUAAGGGGAGAAAGUGCAGUACCAUCCCCAAGGCCACAUCUGCUGGAGUUCAGCCACGAAGGGGCUCAUGCCCUGAUACUGUACAGAAGCUGGGUCUGGUCUUUCCGCUCCACAGCAGCAGCCUUCGGCACGUUGAAUGGGCACAAGUCACUGAGCAGGACUGGUCCAGUUAGAGACACCCUGGGAAGUGCCCCGUGGUGCCCCUGUCCCUGUCGUUCCAGCCUAGGCACCAUGCAGACGUGAGAAGCCACGUCAGCCCAGGAGAGCUCUUGGGUGACCUCAGCUCCAGGAACCAUCUGACCGGAAAUGCGUGCGAGACCCCCCAAUUGUGGAAGAGCCUGUGCUGCUAUUGUGAGCCUUAUCUACACAGUGCUGGCCCCCCAGCACCCCGAGCUCUCCUCUCUGUCUCUGGGCGUCCUGGUCCUGGCUGUCCCAUCUCCCUCAGAGGUCCCACUGCGUACCCGUUUCCU